UACGUAGGGGGCGAGCGUUGUCCGGAUUUAUUGGGCGUAAAGCGCGUGUAGGCGGCCAGAUAGGUCUGCUGUGAAAACUCGAGGCUCAACCUCGAGCUGUCGGCGGAAACCAUCUGGCUAGAGUCCGGAAGAGGAGAGUGGAAUUCCUGGUGUAGCGGUGAAAUGCGCAGAUAUCAGGAAGAACACCUAUGGCGAAGGCAGCUCUCUGGGACGGUACUGACGCUGAGACGCGAAAGCGUGGGGAGCGAACAGG
This 253-nucleotide ribosomal RNA is filed under the name uncultured bacterium. RNAcentral's name for it is "partial 16S ribosomal RNA". It matches the Rfam family "Bacterial small subunit ribosomal RNA", at positions 524 to 776 of the family's 1533-position model. The record is from RNAcentral.